Molecule: transfer RNA, 76 nt
Filed under: Parablautia intestinalis
Lineage: Bacteria; Bacillati; Bacillota; Clostridia; Lachnospirales; Lachnospiraceae
Description: bacterium 0.1xD8-82 tRNA-Ala
Rfam family: tRNA
About the family: Transfer RNA (tRNA) molecules are approximately 80 nucleotides in length. Their secondary structure includes four short double-helical elements and three loops (D, anti-codon, and T loops). Further hydrogen bonds mediate the characteristic L-shaped molecular structure. tRNAs have two regions of fundamental functional importance: the anti-codon, which is responsible for specific mRNA codon recognition, and the 3' end, to which the tRNAs corresponding amino acid is attached (by aminoacyl-tRNA synthetases). tRNAs cope with the degeneracy of the genetic code in two manners: having more than one tRNA (with a specific anti-codon) for a particular amino acid; and 'wobble' base-pairing, i.e. permitting non-standard base-pairing at the 3rd anti-codon position.
Source: RNAcentral
GGGGAUAUAGCUCAGUUGGGAGAGCGAUGCGUUCGCAACGCAUAGGUCAGGGGUUCGAGUCCCCCUAUCUCCAUCA